Molecule: small nuclear RNA, 164 nt
Filed under: Oryza punctata
Lineage: Eukaryota; Viridiplantae; Streptophyta; Magnoliopsida; Poales; Poaceae
Description: U1 spliceosomal RNA
Rfam family: U1 spliceosomal RNA
About the family: U1 is a small nuclear RNA (snRNA) component of the spliceosome (involved in pre-mRNA splicing). Its 5' end forms complementary base pairs with the 5' splice junction, thus defining the 5' donor site of an intron.
Source: Rfam by way of RNAcentral
AUACUUUACCUGGACGAGGUCGAUGAGUGAUCAAGAAAGCUCAUGGCCUAGGUUAACGGCGUCCAUUGCACAUGGGAGGAGUGUUAGCCUACCAUCUCCUCACAAGUGGGAGAGUGGACGUCAUAAUUUCUAGCAAAAGUUUUACAAGUUUCCACUUGGUUUUA